GGUUUCAUAGUGUAGCAGUUAGCACAUCUGCUUUACACGUAGAAGGUCCUGUGUUCACAUCCCAGUGGAGCCA
Molecule: transfer RNA, 73 nt
Filed under: Pteropus alecto (black flying fox)
Lineage: Eukaryota; Metazoa; Chordata; Mammalia; Chiroptera; Pteropodidae
Also listed under: 1 other name
Rfam family: tRNA
About the family: Transfer RNA (tRNA) molecules are approximately 80 nucleotides in length.
Source: Rfam by way of RNAcentral